UUCGUGCACUUUUCAAUAGAAUCACAGAUCGAUUUUUUUAUUGGUCACGUGAUUUGAGUUUAGGAGGUGAAACAUUCACUCGCUUCGAUUUAAAAAAUCAGUUUCGAUGGAGCAAUAGAGUUGACGACACUACAUAUACGUUCUAUGUGAUUACAAGUGGAUAUCUAUUUCGGAUUCUAACUUUUAGUGUUUGAGUAUAAUCGAGAGUGCUCAUUAGUCGAGAAUGUUCAGAAACGUUCCACUCCUAAUGGUAAUAGUGGUCCUUCUGCUAGGCUGCUGCAUUGACUGUUCGGAAAAGGAUAAUGGUGAUUGUUGUUGCGAUACACGAGACAAGUCAGUUCAUUGCUGCGUUGCCGGAGAUUUGUGCUGUACGACAGCAAAAAAAAAGAAUGUGCCUCCAACCAUCCUCCUGUUUUCAAAGUUCGACAGCGGCGCGGUGUUAACACCACAACGAGUACAGGUCGCACCUACAAACAAUGUUAUUUUAACGUCGUUUCGUGUUACUAAUAAAAUAUUUUAAUGUUUGAUCGCA
This is a long non-coding RNA of Bradysia coprophila, 532 nucleotides long. RefSeq lists it as uncharacterized. The record is from RefSeq and is a predicted model, not a curated record. Lineage: Eukaryota; Metazoa; Arthropoda; Insecta; Diptera; Sciaridae.